AAAUUAAAUGGCUGCAGUAACUAUGACUGUAUGAAUGUAGCAUAAUAAUUCGCCACUUAAUUGGUGGAUAGUAUGAAUGGUUGAACGAAAAUUCCUCUGUCUUAUAUAAUAAAAAAAAAAUUUAAAUUAUAGUUAAGAUCCUAUAUAAUUUGUAAGACGAAAAGACCCUAUAAAGCUUAACUAUAUUCUUUUAUAUUAUUUAAACAAAAACAAAAUAAAGAGAAGGUAGUUUCAUUGGGGCGAUGGUCUCUAAAAAAAAACAGAGAUAUUCCAUAUUAAUAAAAUAAUUUACUAUUUAAUUAAUAAAUUUAAUAGUUAUAAAGUGUGAUAUAAUGACCCAUUAUAAUCUUAAAAAAGAAAUAAUGAUCUUUAAAUAAAAGCUACUUUAGGGAUAACAGGAUAAUUUUUUCCUAGAGUUCCAAUCGAAGAAAAAGUUUAUCACCUCGAUGUUGAAUUAAGAUAACCUAAUGAUGCAAC
This 477-nucleotide ribosomal RNA is filed under the name Lytocarpia brevirostris. Its description in RNAcentral is "partial 16S ribosomal RNA". It matches the Rfam family "Bacterial large subunit ribosomal RNA", at positions 1920 to 2559 of the family's 2925-position model. Lineage: Eukaryota; Metazoa; Cnidaria; Hydrozoa; Leptothecata; Aglaopheniidae. The record is from RNAcentral.